Molecule: RNA transcript, 4708 nt
Organism: Neogale vison (American mink)
Lineage: Eukaryota; Metazoa; Chordata; Mammalia; Carnivora; Mustelidae
Gene: EPB41L2
Gene name: erythrocyte membrane protein band 4.1 like 2
Exons: 14
Source: RefSeq, a predicted model, not a curated record
GAGGCGGGUGCGGCGGCCGGGCGGCUGGGGCUGGAGCGGGACCAGUCCCCGCGGCGAGCGAGCCCCUGGAGGUGCAGUGCAGGCAUAUGCUGUAACCAUGACCACUGAAGUAGGCUCCACAUCUGAGGUGAAGAAGGAAUCUGAGCCAUUAGGAGCAGAUGCCACCAAGGAGAAACCUAAAGAAGUAGCAGAAAAUCAGCAGAAUCAGUCCUCCGAUCCGGAGGAGGAAAAACGUUCCCAGUCUUCUCCUACAGCUGAAAGCCAAAGUAGUUCACGCCGCCAGAAGAAAGAGAGGGAUCCAUCUGAGAGCCGGGGCAUUUCUCGAUUCAUACCCCCGUGGCUUAAGAAACAGAAGUCCUAUACCUUAGUAGCGGCUAAAGACGGAGGAGAUAAAAAAGAGCCUGCCCAGGCUGCCGUGGAGGAGGUUUUAGACCAAGAGGAAUCCCUUCCUGAAGGAGAAAGGCAGGCCAAGGGCGAUGUUGAAGAAACCUCUCAGAGAAAGCAGCAGGAGGUGAAAGUUGAUGUCAAGGAAGAGAAGCCCUCUGUGAGCCGUGCUGAGGCACAGCCUGCUGGAGAGGUAAGGAAGGAGAGAGAAGAGAAGGUGAAGGAAAUGCAGGAAGACAAGUCAGAAGCAGCAGCAAAGAGGGAGACCAAGGAAGUGCAGACCAAUGAGCUAAAAGCAGAGAAGUCCUCCCAGAAAACCAGCAAGAGGACCAAAACGGUCCAGUGCAAAGUGAUCCUCCUGGACGGCACCGAGUACAGCUGUGACCUGGAGAAACGUGCUAAGGGACAAGUGUUAUUUGACAAAGUGUGUGAACAUCUCAAUCUUCUGGAGAAGGACUACUUUGGACUUCUAUUUCAGGAAAGCCCUGAGCAAAAAAACUGGCUAGAUCCUGCAAAAGAAAUAAAGAGACAACUGCGAAAUCUUCCUUGGCUGUUCACCUUUAAUGUGAAGUUUUAUCCUCCUGAUCCUUCUCAGUUGACUGAAGAUCUCACCAGAUACUUCUUGUGCCUUCAGCUUCGGCAGGACAUUGCCUCCGGCCGCCUGCCUUGCUCGUUCGUGACGCACGCCCUCCUGGGAUCUUACACAUUGCAGGCUGAACUUGGGGACUAUGAUCCGGAAGAACAUGGCAGUAGUGAUCUCAGUGACUUCCAGUUUGCUCCCACACAGACGAAGGAGCUGGAAGAGAAGGUGGCAGAGCUGCAUAAAACCCACAGGGGCUUAUCUCCAGCGCAAGCUGAUUCUCAGUUCUUAGAAAAUGCAAAGAGGCUCUCCAUGUAUGGUGUUGACCUACAUAAUGCCAAGGACUCGGAAGGCGUGGACAUCAAGCUGGGUGUGUGCGCUAACGGGCUCCUCAUUUACAAAGACAGACUGAGAAUCAAUCGUUUUGCUUGGCCGAAAAUCUUGAAAAUUUCCUAUAAGCGCAGUAACUUCUACAUUAAAGUUAGGCCGGCAGAGCUCGAACAAUUUGAGAGCACCAUUGGAUUCAAACUGCCAAACCAUCGGGCAGCAAAAAGACUAUGGAAAGUGUGCGUGGAACAUCAUACCUUUUACAGGCUUGUGUCUCCAGAGCAGCCACCAAAGGCCAAGUUCCUGACCUUGGGGUCCAAAUUCCGCUACAGCGGCCGUACCCAAGCCCAGACCCGUCAGGCAAGCACCCUCAUUGAUAGGCCAGCGCCACACUUUGAGCGUACCUCUAGCAAACGUGUCUCCAGGAGUCUAGAUGGAGCUCCAGUUGGUGUUGUGGAUCAAAGUCUUAUGAAGGAUUUUCCUGGACCUGCUGGGGAGGUUUCAGCAUACGGCCCGAGAGUUGUCAGCACUGCUGUGGUUCAAGAUGGGGAUGGCAGGAGGGACCUCAGAAGCCCGACUAAAGUCCCACAUGUGCAAUUCAUUGAAGGAAAGCCUGUUCCCAUGUGCCCACCUUCACCUCUCAUUCGCUGUGUUUCAUCUCUUUCCCCAAACCUUUUACCGGUCCCUGAGAUGGACUUGCUUUCAGACAUUUCGGAGGAAGACCCCUUUGGGGAGGCUGACCGGAUCACACUAGACAGCUUAGAGCUCCCUUCCAGCGGUGAGCUGUCUGAGCUGGGGGACUGCGAAGUCCCUGCCCUUGAUUCUGUCUCGGGUCCAAUUGCAGCCUCUCCUCAGCCUGACUGUCCUCCCACCCAUGAGAAGCCUCUAAAAGAGGCUGACUGCAAGGAUUCUGAAUUUGGGUACUUUUCCUUCCAUUUCUGUAAAUGCUUCCCACCUAGCUUCCCCUCCCUUCUCGAUGACGAUGGGUAUCUUGCUUUCCCCAGCCUCCCCAAGGUCUGGGUCUCCUUCCUCCCCGACGAUGUCCAGCACUACCUUCCUAUUACCUCCCCUUCCUUUCUUCCUUCCCUCAUCCUCAUCUUUGGACUCCUUCUCUCUGCUUCUCAGUCAGUGCCUUUUUCUCUCACCUUUUCCCUUCCUCUGGCUCUAUCCCUCUGCUAUCUGGAGGCUAAAGCCACUUCCUUCAAUGUUUCUCGUGACUGUGACUUGAAUGACAAAACAGAGGAGGAGGAAGCAAUUGCUGGGACUCCUACCUAAGCUUUAAUUUGUGGGGUCAACAAAACUCCAGCUUCCUAAUAUAGAGUGUAAACAUGUGCAUAAAUUUCACCACUGAUUACCCUCAAAAUAAUAUGGUCUGCACAUUUUCACAUACAUGGUGUUUUAGUGCAUGAGAAAUACAUGUAAAUAAGUACUUCCCCUUCAUUGAUUUCCAUGGACCAGGUCCACACAUUCGAAGUUGAGAACCAAGUUAUGGAUUAUUUUGUAAAUAUCUAGACUGUACUAGGUCUUCAGAACAAAACAAAACAAUAACAGGAAACCUCUGUUGCCCUUAACAAUCCAUAUUGGCUCUGUCUGUUUUCCAGACAAAUAGCAAGUCUGUCAAUGCUGUUCCUGUAGGGUGGACACUUGUUUCAAUAUAGAACUUAGAUUCUGUGGACAUAACCGUGAUUGAUGUGUAUUAGUAGAACUCCUUAGUGCCGUUAUUUCUCGUUAGAAAGCCAAGCUCCUUCUUGCAUUUAUGAGGAUGCAUCUGUAACCUUUACUCCUGACAUUUAUGGGUUUAAUUUCAGAAAUUCCUUGUCUCCCUGUUACUGUUAGCAUUGGGGAACCAGAUGAAUUUCAGGUAGUUGUUUUUUUUUUUUUUCCUUUUUUGUUUUUAACUCUAAAUAAUGUAGUUUUAUGAAAGAGUCACUGUCAGGUGUUUGUAAGGAAGAUACUACUCUUUAAGGAAUACAUGUGAAAAAUGAAACACAGCUUUUUGAAAAUUUAGACUAUUUGCCCUAUGGUUGGGCCGCAUAGUGUCCCUUUAUUUAAGAUUAGGUGUCCGGUUUGAGGAUUUUUGCCCCUAGAUAGGGCUACCUCUGCACUACAGGUUGGUGCUAAUGUGUGCAGGAUGUUUUUGUUUUGCUAGUGUGGUCUGGUGACUUCGUGUCUCAUAGCCUGUGGGUAUUAGCCAUACAUAGAGAAAAAUCACCAUUUAGAACAAACCUAAAGAAAAAUGUAAAGACAAUGCCAUGAUUAAGCAUACUGGGAGAAACCACUAUUCCCAAAUGUUACCUGAAGAAUGCCAAAGAUUGGCAUUUUAGAGAAUUAAGUAUUGACCAAGGAAUUGGAACAUGAUCUUAAUAGGUUGUUGGAUAACUCUUACUUUUCCUUCUGAUAAGAAGAUACUCUGAGCUCCUGAUCACCUCAGAAAUACUUGAUUUAAAGGGAGAGAAAAAAAAAAUCAUUUUGAACUCUCACAUUUUGAACUCUCAUUCCAGUAAAGAAGAAAAGGAAUGUGCAUGAUCCUGCUAUAAAUUAACAUGUGAAGUUUACCCUAUUGUCUUUUGGUCUCAGAAUCAUUAUUUUUCCUUUUUGUUAUUCCUCUUCUUGAGUCAGUAGUUAUCAGGAUUUAUGCUUUUUUAAGAAUAAAUAUAUUGAAGUAUAAUUGCCAAUACAGUGUUACAUUAGUUUCAGGUAUAACAUAAUGAUUCGGCAAUUCUAUAGUCUGUCACCAUAUGAUGUUAUUAGAAUAUUAUUGACUAUAUUCCCUAUGCUGUGCUUUUCAUGUCCAUGACUUAGUUUUAAAUUUGCAGGUUUUUGUUUUUUUUUUCUUUUGGGUCAUUAGAUACUAAGAAUUAUCCAACCAUGAAAAAUUAUUCUUAUUUAAAGAAUUUUAUGAAGAAAAAGUGGCUAUAAAAUAGGAGUACUUUUAAAUACGAUUUUAGCAUGCAAGUAGCAAAAUAAACCAAUUUCCCUCCCAAAGAAAGAAAUUUAUGUUAAAAACUGAAUUAGAGGGUGAAUAUUUGUCCCUGAGGUAAAAUUUGGUUUUCACUUUCCAUCAUUCUACUUUGCCCUCAUCCCUAGUUGAUUUAGACUUUUCACAUUAGGACAGAUGGAAUUAUGCCAUUUUUACACUCUCUGAUUUUCAUUUAUGAGUAAAAACAUUAAAAAAACACCACAUAAUCUAGGGACUGAGAAAGAGUGAAGCUUCCAUUCUCCAUUUCACCUUUGCAAAGGAUUCCUUCCACCAUUUGUUCGACACUGUAGGUGAAGAAAGACCACAGUGGCUUUAUGUUCUGCAUCUUCUGAGGGCCAAACAGUAAAGUCCUGCAGGUAGAUCUCUUCUCUCCUAAUGGGUCAUCUCCGUGGUGCAGAAUCUGAAGUAACCUCCCAUCCUUAAUAUAUAUUCACCAG